Molecule: transfer RNA, 72 nt
Filed under: Bos taurus (domestic cattle)
Lineage: Eukaryota; Metazoa; Chordata; Mammalia; Artiodactyla; Bovidae
Also listed under: 1 other name
Rfam family: tRNA
About the family: Transfer RNA (tRNA) molecules are approximately 80 nucleotides in length. Their secondary structure includes four short double-helical elements and three loops (D, anti-codon, and T loops).
Source: Rfam by way of RNAcentral
UCCCUGGUGUCUCAGAUGGUAAAGAAUCUGCCUUCAGCGCAAGAGACCCAGGUUCGAUCCCUGGGUUGGGAC